AAUCUAUUAGGGAGUUUUUUGUUCUAAUAUUUCGUAUGAUUCACAAUUUAAUGAGUACUUAAAAGCAUGAUCAAACAAGUAUGAAUCUUAAAAAUAAUGAUUCUCGAGCUAACGAUAAUCAUCUCCAUAAAACAAAGAGCCUUCACAAUUUCGAAUUCCGUAAUAAUAUCAGCCCUGCACUUUUGUGAUCCAACACAUGGUGACGAUUUUGAAUAACCAACGAAUCGUGCAAAAUUGUGGUAUGCAUUUGAG
RNAcentral lists this long non-coding RNA (252 nucleotides) under Olea europaea (common olive). RNAcentral describes it as "long non-coding RNA (OEUR_LNC010745)". Lineage: Eukaryota; Viridiplantae; Streptophyta; Magnoliopsida; Lamiales; Oleaceae. The record is from RNAcentral.